GUAAAUUAUACAAACGGUAAAACAUAAAAUAGGCAGUUCCAAGAUUAUAGGGAUUGAUUGAGAUAAUGAAGCAAUCACACUUGAAUGGCUACAGACUGCCGUGACUUGUGGGGAGUGUCUUGCAUAUUCAUUGGCUGAUGGGUAAAGUUUAAGUUAGAUAAAUUUUAUUUCUGCAAAUUAGGCAGGCAGCAAAGAGAUUGAGUCCUAAGUAGUGACUUCACCUUCUCGGUGAAGGUUGCAUCAGUCGCCCAUGUUUACCAUGUGGAAAGAGAGGCAUGCAUGGAUACAUCUGAGUCUGACUAUGUACUAAGAUGGGCACGCUGUUGUUCAAGAAACAGUGGUAGUUAUCAAGUAUAAGAUUAGCAAUAUUGAUAAAGUUAGAAUUACAAGCUUAUAAUGGGCUUCUAAGCCCAUGGGGUAUUAUUUCUGUCUUUCUCCUGUUUUUGUUUGUCCUGUUUGAUCUGUAUUACAGUUCAGUCAGUCGGUCUAUUUUGAUCUAUUAUUUUGCAUUUUGGUUUAUGUAUCUGAUCUACUCUUGGCUCUUUUGUUAAAUAAUUUAUUAGUUAUCUAGACUAAAAA
Molecule: long non-coding RNA, 579 nt
Organism: Prunus persica (peach)
Lineage: Eukaryota; Viridiplantae; Streptophyta; Magnoliopsida; Rosales; Rosaceae
Exons: 2
Source: RefSeq, a predicted model, not a curated record